RNAcentral lists this long non-coding RNA (873 nucleotides) under Phasianus colchicus (ring-necked pheasant). Its description in RNAcentral is "lncRNA (ENSPCLG00000017800.1)". Lineage: Eukaryota; Metazoa; Chordata; Aves; Galliformes; Phasianidae. The record is from RNAcentral.
GCAGCCGGGGGGCACAAGGGACACGUGGAACCCCAAGAACCCCAAUGGAACCCCAAGAACCCCAAUGGAACCCCAAGAACCCCAAUGGAAACCCAAUAACACCAAUAGAACCCAAUGGAACCCAUUGGAACCCUAAUAAAUCCCAACGGAACCGUUCUCCAGGCUCAGGUGCAGCUUGGGGCACGUCCGCACUGCAGCCCCAUGGAGACACAAGGAACCCUGUGGAACCCGUGGAAUCCAAUGGAACCCAAAUGGAAACCCAAUAACACCAAUAGAACCCAAUGGAACCCCAUAAAUCCCAAUAGAACCACUCUCCAGGCUCAGGUGCAGCUUGGGGCACGUCCGCACUGCAGCCGGGGGGCACAGAAACCCCAGUAACACCAAUGGAGCCCAUGGAACCCCAGUAACACCAAUGGAACCCAAUGCAACCCCAUGGAACCCCAAUAAUCCCAAUGGAACCCAAUGGAACCCCAAGGAACCCCAAUAAUCCCAAUAACCCCAAUGGAACCCCAUGGAACCCCAAUAAUCCCAAUGGAGCCCCAAGAACUCCACUGGCACCCCAUAAAUCCCACCAGAACCGCUCUCCAGGCUCAGGUGCAGCCUGGGGCACGUCUGCACUGCAGCCCCGUGGAGACACAUGGAACCACAUGAAACCCCAAAACCCCAAUAACCCCGAUAGAACCCAAUGGAACCUCAAGAACCCCAAUAAUCCCAAUGGAACCCCAAGAACCUCCGAUAUCCCCCAUUAGCACCCAAUAACCCCACAAACAUCCCCCCAUGACUCACAGCACCCGCUGGGCUGCCCCAUGGCCAUCCAUGUCCCCAUAGCAGCCCCAAAUCCCCCCCUAGGACCCCAAUAUCCCCCCCCAGCCC